UCGGGAAUAUUGCGCAAUGGAGGAAACUCUGACGCAGUGACGCCGCGUGCAGGAAGAAGGUUUUCGGAUUGUAAACUGCUUUAGAUAGGGAAGAAAAAAAUGACAGUACCUAUAGAAUAAGCUCCGGCUAACUACGUGCCAGCAGCCGCGGUAAUACGUAGGGAGCGAGCGUUAUCCGGAUUUAUUGGGUGUAAAGGGUGCGUAGAUGGAUAAACAAGUUGGUUGUGAAAUCCCUCGGCUUAACUGAGGAAUUGCAACCAAAACUGUAUAUCUUGAGUACUGGAGGGGAAAGCGGAAUUCCUA
This 303-nucleotide ribosomal RNA is filed under the name uncultured bacterium. RNAcentral's name for it is "bacterial SSU rRNA". It matches the Rfam family "Bacterial small subunit ribosomal RNA", at positions 355 to 672 of the family's 1533-position model. The record is from RNAcentral.